This 486-nucleotide ribosomal RNA is filed under the name uncultured bacterium. RNAcentral describes it as "partial 16S ribosomal RNA". It matches the Rfam family "Bacterial small subunit ribosomal RNA", at positions 30 to 507 of the family's 1533-position model. The record is from RNAcentral.
AUUGAACGCUGGCGGCAUGCCUUACACAUGCAAGUCGAACGGCAGCACGGGUGCUUGCACCUGGUGGCGAGUGGCGCACGGGUGAGUAAUACAUCGGAACAUGUCUUGUAGUGGGGGAUAGCCCGACGAAAGCCGGCUUAAUACCGCAUACGAUCUACGGAUGAAAGCGGGGGACCUUCGGGCCUCGCGCUAUAGGGUUGGCCGAUGGUUGAUUAGCUAGUUGGUGGGGUAAAGGCCUACCAAGGCGACGAUCAGUAGCUGGUCUGAGAGGACGAGCAGCCACUCUGGGACUGAGACACGGCCCAGACUCCUACGGGAGGCAGCAGUGGGGAAUUUUGGACGAUGUGCGAAAGCCUGAUCCAGCAAUGCCGCGUGUGUGAAGAAGGCCUUCGGGUUGUAAAGCACUUUUGUCCGGAAAGAAAUCCUUGGCCCUAAUACGGUCGGGGGAUGACGGUACCGGAAGAAUAAGCACCGGCUAACUACGUG